This 797-nucleotide ribosomal RNA is filed under the name Photobacterium frigidiphilum. RNAcentral's name for it is "bacterial LSU rRNA". It matches the Rfam family "Bacterial large subunit ribosomal RNA", at positions 409 to 1209 of the family's 2925-position model. Lineage: Bacteria; Pseudomonadati; Pseudomonadota; Gammaproteobacteria; Vibrionales; Vibrionaceae. The record is from RNAcentral.
CGAGUAGGACGGGACACGUGAUAUCCUGUUUGAACAUGGGGGGACCAUCCUCCAAGGCUAAAUACUCCUGACUGACCGAUAGUGAACCAGUACCGUGAGGGAAAGGCGAAAAGAACCCCUGUGAGGGGAGUGAAAUAGAACCUGAAACCGUGUACGUACAAGCAGUAGGAGCCCACUUGUUGGGUGACUGCGUACCUUUUGUAUAAUGGGUCAGCGACUUAAUUUUAGUAGCAAGGUUAACCGUUUAGGGGAGCCGUAGGGAAACCGAGUCUUAACUGGGCGUACAGUUGCUAGGAUUAGACCCGAAACCAAGUGAUCUAGCCAUGGGCAGGUUGAAGGUGAGGUAACACUUACUGGAGGACCGAACCGACUAAUGUUGAAAAAUUAGCGGAUGACUUGUGGCUAGGGGUGAAAGGCCAAUCAAACUUGGAGAUAGCUGGUUCUCCCCGAAAGCUAUUUAGGUAGCGCCUCGGACGAAUACUACUGGGGGUAGAGCACUGUUAAGGCUAGGGGGUCAUCCCGACUUACCAACCCUUUGCAAACUCCGAAUACCAGUAAGUACUAUCCGGGAGACACACGGCGGGUGCUAACGUCCGUCGUGAAGAGGGAAACAACCCAGACCGCCAGCUAAGGUCCCAAAGUUAUAGCUAAGUGGGAAACGAUGUGGAAAGGCUCAGACAGCCAGGAUGUUGGCUUAGAAGCAGCCAUCAUUUAAAGAAAGCGUAAUAGCUCACUGGUCGAGUCGGUCUGCGCGGAAGAUUUAACGGGGCUAAGCUAUACACCGAAGCUGCGGCAAU